GUUUUUACAAAGCCAGGCACAUUCUCACACAGGGCCCUGGAUCAUAUGGAAUCCCGAGCAGAUGGCCACAUUCACUGGGACUGUGGGUCAAACAUAUGCUCUCCAGGCUCUUGUGUAGAAUGGAAUCCGUGAGCGCCGGAAAGAGCUGGGGGUGGGGAGCUCAACCUAGCUACUGUAAGACCACGGGACAGAGAAAGAAACACUUGCAAGUUGUUAGGAUCAAGCAUUCUCAUGCAAAAGAAUCAGCUGACUGAUAGUUUCACAUUUGCAAUGCUGUGACUGUAAGGGCUUUUUGCAUAAAUUAUCUAGUAGUAGUGUUUGGAUUCAAACAGGUACUUCAAAACUUUUUUUAAGAUUUUAUUUUUUUUUUAAUUAGGAUUAUAAUAUUUGUGUACUAGAAAUUAAAUACGAGGACACAAAACUCUAAAAAGCAUUAAAACCGCACAUUAAAGCAAGAUGUUAAAAAGCUAUAUUAAAUCAGCUAUACUAUAAAACGAUGGAACCAAAAGACUGAUGUUCUCAGGACAAAGAUUGGGUGAAGGGAGAGGCGCUGGAGUUAGGGGAAAUCAGGCCACAAAUGGAGGCAGCAAAAGGGUGGAGAGCAAAGGGAGACUGCUGCUGUUUUCAGAGCCUCUCUGGACUGAAUGGCACUCUUUGUGAUCCUGUCACAGCUCCACAUCCCACAUGUGUUUCAGAAGCAACAGUCCUCUCCCACUGCUGACGAAAGCACUUUAGGAGAGCGACAGAGCAGCCGUCAGAGGACAGGUCUCCAAACCCCUACGUGUUUUUAAAGCAGCCCACACUCUCAGAAAUAAAGGUCAGCGGUCACGCCUCUUUCUUUCACUCGGCACGGCGGCAGUCGCUGGAGCCUGCAGGACGCUUGACAGCUCAGCAAUGGCCCUGCCAACUUUAUCCUCAGAUGAGCUGAUCCAAACAUGACAGAAGGUGGUGUAACUAUGACAGAAGUUGAAGCACAGAAAUUCAGAGGGUGAACACAACACACCAUACCCAAUUGUCCAGGUGACCCAAGAAGACUGGAAGUCCACAUUUGAGGGACGAAGCUCCUGUUCCCUGAAGGUAGACAGGGUCGAGGUGUGUGAAGGCAUGAAGGUAGAGAAAGCCAUGAUCUCCUCAUUUUAUUCAUAUUUUUGUUUUCAAUCUUGAAUACCAACCCAAAAACAAGAACACUCUGACCUUCCUCCAGCGAUGCAUUGCGAAAAUGCCAUCCAAGAUAUCCAUGUCUUUCUUUCCUCAGUGGGAGAGAAAUUGUUUUUUGAGGAAAACAUUUCUGGAUUUUUCUUCUAACAAUGGAGUUCAUUGGUUACCAUCGUUUUUAAGUCC
Long non-coding RNA from Cyprinus carpio carpio, 1341 nucleotides. NCBI's taxonomy places the organism in Eukaryota, Metazoa, Chordata, Actinopteri, Cypriniformes, Cyprinidae. The record is from Ensembl.